UGGUAUGGCCCAGCAGGUAGGGCAACUGAUUCGUAAUCAGUAGGUCAGCGGUUCGAAUCCGCUUACC
Molecule: transfer RNA, 67 nt
Filed under: uncultured Eubacterium sp.
Lineage: Bacteria; Bacillati; Bacillota; Clostridia; Eubacteriales; Eubacteriaceae
Rfam family: tRNA
About the family: Transfer RNA (tRNA) molecules are approximately 80 nucleotides in length. Their secondary structure includes four short double-helical elements and three loops (D, anti-codon, and T loops).
Source: RNAcentral